This 433-nucleotide long non-coding RNA is filed under the name Cyanistes caeruleus (blue tit). RNAcentral describes it as "lncRNA (ENSCCEG00000015709.1)". The record is from RNAcentral. Lineage: Eukaryota; Metazoa; Chordata; Aves; Passeriformes; Paridae.
CAGAGGUUUUUAUGAAAUACUUCUUCCAUUAGACAGUGUUUGUUCUACUUUCUCAUUAUUGUAUCAUCCCACUGACCUUGAGACAGGUGAAUACGGAAUGACCAAAAUGAGACAGAGACAACACUAUCUGUGGGUCAAGAUAACAUUAUUGCAGAAAGAUAAAUACCAUUCUUUAUUCACGAUGCCUUCAUAAUUAUUAAUGGUCUGGUCAAAGAUAAAUUCAAGGUGAUCAUAGGUCUAGUCAUCUACCUGUGCCUCUCAUGGGGUCAUGAACUAGGGGAGAAGCCAUUGUGCAUGAGAGAGUGCCACAAUUUUCAGAGACCUGGAGACAUAGUAAAAGAAAAUGACCUGCUCCUGACCAUUGGAGCAGCCAUCUACAUGACUUGAGCAUAUGCAGAAUAAAUCACACAAUCACAAAUUAUGCUGAGUUGGA